CAAUUGCUGCAGCCCGACUUGAGCGGUUAUCCUUUUUGCGAGAGGCUAUGCCGAGCAAAAAGAUAAUAGCGGAAGGCGGAAAAGCUG
This 87-nucleotide unclassified non-coding RNA is filed under the name Epilithonimonas bovis DSM 19482. RNAcentral describes it as "Chryseobacterium bovis DSM 19482 Flavo-1 RNA". The record is from RNAcentral. Lineage: Bacteria; Pseudomonadati; Bacteroidota; Flavobacteriia; Flavobacteriales; Weeksellaceae.